This is a non-coding RNA of Daldinia decipiens, 109 nucleotides long. NCBI's taxonomy places the organism in Eukaryota, Fungi, Ascomycota, Sordariomycetes, Xylariales, Hypoxylaceae. The record is from the annotation of a RefSeq genome assembly.
GCCCCUAUAGCUCAGUGGUAGAGCGUUCCACUCGUAUCAUGUAAUCAUCUUGUAUGAUCUACUGUCCAUCGAAAUGGAGAGGUCCAUCGUUCAAUCCGGUGUGGGGGCA